GAGUUUGAUCCUGGCUCAGGAUGAACGCUGGCGGCGUGCUUAACACAUGCAAGUCGAACGAAGCACUCUUUUAGAUUUCCUUCGGGGAAGAAGAAAUUGUGACUGAGUGGCGGACGGGUGAGUAACGCGUGGGCAACCUGCCCCAUACAGGGGGAUAACAGCCGGAAACGGCUGCUAAAACCGCAUAAGCGCACAAGGGCCGCAUGGCCUGGUGUGAAAAACUCCGGUGGUAUGGGAUGGGCCCGCGUCUGAUUAGCUAGUUGGCGGGGGAGAGGCCCACCAAGGCGACGAUCAGUAGCCGACCUGAGAGGGUGGCCGGCCACAUUGGGACUGAGACACGGCCCAAACUCCUACGGGAGGCAGCAGUGGGGAAUAUUGCACAAUGGGGGAAACCCUGAUGCAGCGACGCCGCGUGAGCGAAGAAGUAUUUCGGUAUGUAAAGCUCUAUCAGCAGGGAAGAAAAAUGACGGUACCUGAGUAAGAAGCACCGGCUAAAUACGUGCCAGCAGCCGCGGUAAUACGUAUGGUGCAAGCGUUAUCCGGAUUUACUGGGUGUAAAGGGAGCGCAGGCGGUGCGGCAAGUCUGAUGUGAAAGCCCGGGGCUCAACCCCGGGACUGCAUUGGAAACUACCGAACUAGAGUGUCGGAGAGGUAAGUGGAAUUCCUAGUGUAGCGGUGAAAUGCGUAGAUAUUAGGAGGAACACCAGUGGCGAAGGCGGCUUACUGGA
RNAcentral lists this ribosomal RNA (728 nucleotides) under uncultured bacterium. Its description in RNAcentral is "bacterial SSU rRNA". It matches the Rfam family "Bacterial small subunit ribosomal RNA", at positions 9 to 733 of the family's 1533-position model. The record is from RNAcentral.